RNAcentral lists this unclassified non-coding RNA (361 nucleotides) under Hevea brasiliensis (rubber tree). Lineage: Eukaryota; Viridiplantae; Streptophyta; Magnoliopsida; Malpighiales; Euphorbiaceae. The record is from RNAcentral.
AAAUUGGUUUAAUUCAAGGUUCCUGGUAAGAUAGAAAAACUCAUUAAGAUUGCUAAUACAGUAGAUUGUUCUAAGCAUUUGAACAGAUAAGAACGAGUUCUCAGGAGCAAUUGACAUUAGUAUUCCAAAAGUAAAUGUUGCUGUUCCUUAAAAGCUAAUUCUAAUGUUUUGGAAGAGAAAGAAAGUGAAGUGUGCAAACAUACUUAAUUUCACGAGACACAGAAUUUUUCUUUUUCAUUUCCUUUAUUCCAGUCCGCAAAAUGCAUCAUAAAAUUCAUUAACCAGAAUGUUAUGGAAUAAAUUGUCAUACAAUGCUCGAAGAAAUUCUACAUGCACUGAAAUUUACAACUUACAAGUAUGU